Molecule: long non-coding RNA, 689 nt
Organism: Anthonomus grandis grandis
Lineage: Eukaryota; Metazoa; Arthropoda; Insecta; Coleoptera; Curculionidae
Exons: 3
Source: RefSeq, a predicted model, not a curated record
UAAAGUCGGGAUGUAUAGUUUCUAAAUGUCGGCGCAUCUUAGCAGGUACCACCGAACUAUUAGCAAGGAGUUUGCUGCACAACAUACAAAGAGGGUCCAGUUUAAUACAUACAUUCAUUUAUUAUGACUGCUGGCGGAGCCCUACCGGAGGUUUCGCGGAGCACACUUUCAGUAACGCUGGUGUAGAAGAACCUGCUUCAGAUGAAAUUUGUUCAAGCCCCGAAGAUAUUCAAGCUCAAAGUAUAUCAGAUGUGGUAUAUGGGCGAUGAGAUUCCAUAAAACGCAGAGGGAUCAUAAAGCGCCUUCUGAAUAUUAUCGAAGCUCGAACUGUAUUUUCAGGAAGCCAUAUUAAAAAAGAAAACCAGGCAGACAACCCUAGAUGAAUUUCUUACCAAAGAACUGUAGUGUUUGAACUUAAUUUUUUUAAGCUAGAAAGUUUUUUCUAAUUUCUGUAUAAAAAUAAUGAAAAUGCAUUGUCUUUUUGCAAUUUUGUGUUCUUUUUUCUGAAACAACAUUUAUUACAUAAUUAUGUAUACAUACAUACUUUAUAGGUUUUUCCACUAAGCGAACACCUCUCUUGACCGAACAUUUUUUUCCAGUCCCCUGACUGUCCGUUUAUGAGAGGUUUUACUAUAAUACGUAGUUACAUAUUUAUGAAUAUGCAAAAAAAAAUUUUUUAGCCCUUAAUC